Long non-coding RNA from Sitophilus oryzae (rice weevil), 873 nucleotides. RefSeq lists it as uncharacterized. The record is from RefSeq and is a predicted model, not a curated record. NCBI's taxonomy places the organism in Eukaryota, Metazoa, Arthropoda, Insecta, Coleoptera, Curculionidae. The transcript is spliced from 3 exons.
AAAAGUUUUGAUAGGAUACAUUAAAAUACGCAACCAACCGUCAUUGAACCGUCCAAUCAGAUCAAAGGAGUAAUCGUCGUAGAUCGUGCGUUAUCGAUAAUGUUCGGUGCCUGGAGAAAAUUGACAAUUGACAAGAGAAUUGUUUAUUAUUUUUGACUUUUUAGUUCGUUUAAUUUAAUAAUUACUAAAACCAGUAGUUCGAAAGAUAUAUUUAAAAAUAAAAGAUAAAAAUCCAAAAAAUUAAUUAUCUAUUAACGUGGAUUUGGACGACAAUAGGUUUUUAGUUUGUGAUGUUUCAUGUGAUGAUCAUUUUCAUGUUCAUCGUCUUUGAAUUGACAUGAGGAUAUCUAUGGAAAAGUAACUAAUCUGAAAGUAAGCCAACAUAUCGUUUGUCCUUUGUGUGCUAAAGAAAAGAUUUUCUUUUCGCAUCAUGAGGAAGUAUUACAUCAAUUAAAAAAUGUUAGGAAGUUGAUUACUUGUCAUGGAAAAGUAUACCAAUGGAAAUUAUUUGUUAAAGAAGUAUAAUUCUAAGGGUUUUAAGAAUAAAUUGGUUGAACCCAAAAUCUGGAGGAAGUACCUAUAUCCAUACACAGAAUAUGCCCAUUAAAAAUACUAGUCCAAAUUUGCUUUAAUGGUAGACAAUUAUUCAAUACAAAUUAACUUUUUAAGUGACUGAAAUAUUAAAUAGUUUAGAAUAUGGUAUAACAAUGUAAAAAAAUAUUAUUUUCAGGAACGAUUAGGGCCCGAUAUAUUUGAAACUCAUGUUGGACAUAGUAUUGAGUUGGGUAGAAUAUUAUUCUACGUUAAGUGAGGGUAUCAGAUACCUAUUAUUGUACUGUAUUUUAAUAUAUACAUUAGAAUUGUUGGUUUUUU